GCCACCUCCCGAGCGGCUGUCGGGGGCCCGCCCAGCUGUUGACAAAGGCCGCACUGUAGAACCCGGGGGUUUGGUGAAGGGUUGGAUUCCAAGCCACCACUUGUUAGGCCUCCCACUGGUCAUAGCUACACAAAGUGUAAUCAUAAGAAAACAUCAGAGAAACCCCAGUUGAAGGAUAUUAUGCACAAUACCUGACCAGUACUCCUCAAAAUUGAUGUGGUUAUCAAGAACAAGGAAAGUCUGAGAAACUGUCAAGCCAAGAGAAGCCUAUGGAGACAUUACAACUAACUGUAAUAUGAUACCUUGGAUGGGAUCCUGGAAAAGAAGAAAAGAUAUUAGGUCUCUAGACUUUUGUUGAGUGAAGAACAAUUUACUAUGAGGUGACCUACAAAAACAACACUCAGAAUUCUCUCAAAUCACAUUGGUCAGUGCAAUCAGCUCUCAGAUAUUUGCUUGAGAAGCAGCCACAGAUUAUAUCCUGAAGAAAUGGAAAAGAAAUGACCCCCAGUCUGGAUAACAUCCCGGAUAGUGUAUGAAAAGUCUAGGAAUACCACGGUUUAUGCAUCAUUUCGUGUUCAUUUGGGGGAUGGUACAGUCAGAGAAACCAUGAGCAAGAGAAGGUUGAAGGAUGAACUAGCAAGUGUGGUAAACUGAAUUAGAGACCCUGUCCAGAGGUUCUCUGGCACCUGUAGAUCCAAGCAUGAGUGACUUUCUGGGUGACUGUGGCAACAUCUCUUGUAAUCCCCUUGGGAGCCCUGGUAUUCCUUGAACAUGCAUACCUUUCCCAGUGUGAGGGACAUGGACCGCGCUGUUCGAGGGACCCCAUCUUCUGCAGCAAGAGGAACAGAGAAGAGAAGUCAGGAGGCCAGCAAGAGGCAGAGAAGCUGGGGCCUUCCAAGGGGCCAGAAAGGAAGCAGGAGGAUCUUGGGUCAUGAUGUGGGACCUGAUGACACACAGUGGAACAGCAUCCAGAAGAGCUGCUGAGGUCAAAAAGGGGAAUCAAAAUGGUAGGUCAUGGGCUGAAACUGGAGCAGACAGGACCAGGGGCAGUUGCCAAGCUAAAUGGGAGAGCCAGUAAAAAGGGCGGAAAGGGGAUGGAUCCUCCAGUGAGCAGAAAGAAGGGCUGAAGGUUUUCCAGAGGCUUUUCUUCAUGUCAUUACCAGGGUUUCUUGUUGUGGUUUCUUGGAUCUCAAUGAAAGAAUUAGCUAUUCUCUGAGGUACAAAUUAGAGACCUGGAGGGCCAUUUGCUAAAUAAUGUUUAUAAAUUUUUAUAUUAGUUGUCAACAUUUAUAAUUGGAAGGAUUCCCAUAAAGGUCUGGAUUUCCUGCUUUUCCUGAAAAACCAAGAGACCAAGCCAUCUUGGGUCUGCAUUUCUGCAGAGUAACUGUUGGUCUGCUUCUGUAGCUUGCUUCAAUCAUUUGUACUCCCUGACUGGCCCUGAAAGCAUCCAAGUUACUGCCCCUGUGGCACAUGAUUCUUAACCUGAAAACCAAGGUUUUCUGAAACACAGGAGGUUUGUGCUUAAAGCCUCCUUGACUCAUGACACCUUUUUUUUAAAACCACUUUAUUAAGGUAUGAUUGACAUAUGAAAAGCUAUCCAUAUUUUAUGUAUAUACCUUGAUGAGUUUAGAGAUAAGUAUACACUUAUGAAACUCUUAUCACGAUUUAUGCCGUAAGUCUAUCACUUCUCAACAUUUCUUCCUUUUGCCUUCUUAUUUACUUAUUAUUGUUAUUGUUGUUGCUGUUGUGAUAAGAAUGCUUAUAAGAUCUACCCCGUUAGAAAACUUUUAGGUAUACAACACAAUAUGGUUAAGUCUAAGCACUAAGCUGUACAAUAUAUUUCAUUUUGUGUAACUCCCACAUUGUCUUGGUGGGAUUUCUUUCCAUACAGUCCAAUGGGUGACUGCUACCAUGGGAAUUCCAAUUGAAACGCUGAUUUUUCUUACAGUAUGUUUGAAAUUCUUUCCCUGGGUGGAGUUUAUUUCAACUGCAACAGUUUGUGCUCUAAAAAUUACCUUUUUCAUGAUUUUCAUAUAUAAAGAAUUUCUUUCUUGUAUGAAUCCUCUGGUGAACAGGAAGAAAUGCACUUUGGCUAAAAUAUUAUUUUCAUACUCAUUAUAUCAUAUGGUUUCUGCCAUCUCUUGGGAUGGGCUUUUAUGAAUUCCCAGCAGACAUUAAUGAGGAUGAGGUAAGUCUACAUAAAAGGGGUGGGAGAGCCAAACAUUACUUUCUUCAUGUUACAUCCUGAAAAAAACCUUGUGUAGUGCUGCGGGGAUUAUAAUAUAUACCCAUUUCCAAGAGUCUAAUACCUUCACUCUGCUAAGUAAGUAGAAUACAAUUCAUUUAUUUAUUUUAUUUUAUUGACACACUACCUAUUUCCCAAAGCAAUUUGAAAUAACCAGCAAUAAAAUCUAAGAUAUAAAAACAUGAGGCUAUAAAAAUGGGGAGACAAUUUGAUAAAUACAAACAUCCCUAGCAGAUAAGGAGAAAUGCAUGCUUCUCCUAACCAUCCAUGGUUUGACUCUGAAGUUAAACUAUUUGACCUGAAACCAAAUGAAUCUGUGAUCCAUUUGGCCCAGGCUCUGAGAAAGAUUGCUUUAAAGAAUUAUUCAGCAGACAAAAAUAAUACAAAAAGAGCCUCAUUCUUCACUCUCAGCUCUCAAAGGACAUGGAAGGAGAUAAUGCUUAACCAUCCUCACCUCUCCUCUGCCCUUUGACUUUUCACUCCCCAUGAAAAGCCUCUCUUCCUUUCCCUCCCUCCUCGACUUACUCCUCCAGCUCCAUCCAAUUACUUAUUGUACAGUUUGUCUAGCCUUUCUUUUUAUGGUUGGCUCGCUGAAGUUUUCAAAAGCCUUCUAGUCUAAGAAGUCAGUGUGUAAACAUCCACACAUUGUUAUGCUUUAUUCUCUCCAGCAAACUUACCGAAUGCCUAUCAUGUGCUACAGUCUAUGCUAGAGCACAGGAAGAGAAAAGUGAAAUAGGCAGACCUCUGAAGUGCUUCUCAGUUAGCACAAUGGGAUGAGGAGUGGGUGAAAGCACCCCUCACCCCCACCCCAGGUAGUGCCUAGGGCCUGGUGCCCUUACUGUUGACCUGCGAGGUAAAUGGUCUGCAACGCACUAAGGAGCUGCCUUCUGGUGGAAGUUUUCUCUGCCUUCUGGCUGAAGACAACUUGCAGCAAAGCUCUUCUAAGGUGGCUGUCAUGCACGGGGUUGUAUGUACCCUCAGUCAGAGGAGGGUAGGGGCAGACAUGCUCAUAGAAAGGCAGAAACAAGCCAUAGGUGGCAAGUGCCAAGCAUGUAACCACAAACACAUGCAAUUCAAAGCAGCUUAAAAACCAGGAGGCACAAAGCAAGCAGGGAGAAAUCCUCUAAUCCCCUGAUGGAAUGUCCUGGAAUGCUCCUCACUCUCUCUUUUCAGUGCGUGCAAAAUAUACAAUAAUAAAAUCAAAGUGUUCUUUCCCUAAUCAGUACAUAGAAUGGAUGAACAAGCUCUGUGAAAAACUGUUUUUGUGGGGAACAUUCAGUCUCCUGUGGGCUGUUUCAGUUCAGUAGGCACUGAAAAGACAGGAAUCCAGGAAAGUGUGGGAAGAUUCCAGAGACCCUCUGGAGUGAAUUCUGCCAGGUUGUAGUGUGUGUGAUGAGUGUGAAUACUCAACCCUGCUCCCAACCUGAGCUGCUAAACAUAAGACAGGCCCUCAAGAAAGCUUGUGUUGCAGCAUGUCCAAAUAUGGAGCUUGCCAGUGAAGUUACUGGCUUCAGGACUUCAAGGGCCUUGAGCUUGGGAACCACAGUAAUUCAUCCAUAGUACAGGUUCUCACUUACUAGCUGUGUGACCUUGAGCAAGUUACCUCGCCUCUGUGUUCCUUGGUUACCUCAUCUGUCAAAUAACUAUCCCACAGGGUAGUUACAAAAAUUAAACAGAUUGAUAUGGAAAUAAGAUUGCCGGCUAAAAUACAGGAUGUCCAGUUAUAUUUGAACUUCGAAUAAACAACAAAUAAUUUUUUAGUGUAAGUGUGUUCCAAAAUUGUAUGGACAUAGCUGUAUUUUCAUUUGCUAAAUCUGCAGCUCCAGAUGGAAAGCACCUGGCACUUAGCAAAUGCCAGUGUCAGAUGUUAUAUUCUGUUAUUGUUAACUUUGGGGCUGAAUCAAUUACUUUGGAGUUUGGUUUUGAAGAGAUUGUUGUUCUUAGUUUUGAGUCUGAUCCAUCAUUUGGAGUUAAAUUAGGAGGGCCUCACUCUUCUGGUCAUGAAGCCAUAGAGCAUCUUCCCUGGGCAUCUAUCUGACCACAAAAGCCCAAGUGGUCUUAUAAUCAGUGACUCCCAGAGAAGCCCACCUCCAAGACCACCUUCACUUGGCUCCACUCCCUCUCUUACCAUCUGCCUCUGAGACCAUGUAGAGAUGUCCUUUGCAAGGUUACAGACAUGAACAACAAAGGAACAAAUGUGGGUAGAAGGGAGUGACACUUUCUUGGACUUCUAAGUGCGAGGCCCGAUCCCAGACACUUCUGGUGUGUUUCCUCACUUCAUCCUCCCAGCAAUUCUGCCACUGAAUCUCAGGAUAUCCAUCUACAAAUUGGGGAUGGUAAUGCCUCCUAAUGCCAUAGAAUCAUAAAGAGGAAAGUGAAGGCCCUGAGCAUGGAGUAGACAAUGGAUGCAUUUCCUUUCUCCCUGCUUUUUCCUCAUCAGCCCCCACUUUACCAGUGAAAGAAAGGACUUGUCCAGGGCUGUGCAGCUGGAAAAUAGUGGAAAGGACUAAAUAUUAGGCCUGUUGGCCUUCCCACUUCACCAUGCUACUCUUAUAGCUGUUUCUCCUGGUCUUUGGUCUCACCUCUCGUGGUUCCCGGUGUGUGCAUGACACUAUGACACUCCUGUUAUUCUUCCAGGCUGCUCCCGCCUUCACAAACACUUUCCUUCAGGAGACCCUCCAGCCAGCACAAAUUUGAACACGUAGUUGGAGGAAAGAUGGCAGGGGCACCCCCUUACCUUUCCACAGGCCCAGUCUCACCAAGGGUCCAUUUCCCUUCCCUGAAAUCAGCCAAGCAUGGAGGCCCAGGCUGUCUCCCCACAAGCUCACCCUAUAAUAAGCCAGCAGGUCACAUUUUGUUCUCCUUAAAUAAACCUUAUAGAAACAUUUAAAUGUUUAUUUCACUCAUAAAUUCCCAGGAAUGCGCAACAGUUUCCUAACUGCUUGUAUGCAGAGAUAAAUAUAGGCCUGUGUCAUAGACGGGAAUAUUAUCUUCCCUUCCCCAACAUCACAUGACUAGGCCUGGGGAGGAAGCUCUAAGAAACAGCCCCAGUCCCAGCCCUGGUGGGAGUGGGGAGUUCAGCUCCUGCACUUGGGCCCUGGCAGAUAGCCUGGGAGAGAAGGACCCAACUGGAAGCCAGUGUAGGGUAUAAUGCAGUUGGGGAGCCCUAGUGGGAAUCCCACCUGGAUGACCUUGGGCACUUUACUUAACUUUUCUGAGUUUCAUAUUCUCAAACAUUAUGUGAGCUAAUAAUCCCCAUUUUCCAGCCUUGUUUGAAGGAUUAGACAAGAUAAAGCAAUAUUAAUAGUGAUGAUAUUGGUGAGAAUGGUAGUAGAGGUUGGGACUUGUGGUGGCUGUAUCCUUAGGUCCCUUUCUCAUCACAUGGAGGGCAAACACGGACUGUCUCUGUAGAGAGGGGCCCUGGCCACAAAGAGGAAUUAGUGCUCUUGUGAUGGAUAAAAGGACUCUGGGGACUUGGGAGUAAAUUAUUAUUCUAGCAGCAAGUCCUAAGAGCAUGGGGGAGAGAGCAGAAAUGCCUCUGCUGAAGUCUGCUGGAUAUUGGGCUCCUCCCUGCCAAGAACUGAGUACCAGUUCCUGGCUCCCCUAAAGCUCCUCAGUGCCCACCCUGUGGAUCCCACUGUGUACCCAGGGCCUGCUUGCCUUUGGAGGAUACUCUUUUUUUUAAUGUUUUUUUUAAUGUUUAUUCAUUUUUGAGACAGAGAGAGACAGAGCAUGAACAGGGGAGGGUCAGAGAGAGGGAGACACAGAAUCUGAA
This is a long non-coding RNA of Felis catus (domestic cat), 6020 nucleotides long. RefSeq lists it as uncharacterized. The transcript is spliced from 5 exons. The record is from RefSeq and is a predicted model, not a curated record. Lineage: Eukaryota; Metazoa; Chordata; Mammalia; Carnivora; Felidae.